Molecule: ribosomal RNA, 465 nt
Filed under: uncultured Klebsiella sp.
Lineage: Bacteria; Pseudomonadati; Pseudomonadota; Gammaproteobacteria; Enterobacterales; Enterobacteriaceae
Description: bacterial SSU rRNA
Rfam family: Bacterial small subunit ribosomal RNA
Source: RNAcentral
CCUACGGGUGGCUGCAGUGGGGAAUAUUGCACAAUGGGCGCAAGCCUGAUGCAGCCAUGCCGCGUGUGUGAAGAAGGCCUUCGGGUUGUAAAGCACUUUCAGCGGGGAGGAAGGCGGUGAGGUUAAUAACCUCAUCGAUUGACGUUACCCGCAGAAGAAGCACCGGCUAACUCCGUGCCAGCAGCCGCGGUAAUACGGAGGGUGCAAGCGUUAAUCGGAAUUACUGGGCGUAAAGCGCACGCAGGCUGUCUGUCAAGUCGGAUGUGAAAUCCCCGGGCUCAACCUGGGAACUGCAUUCGAAACUGGCAGGCUAGAGUCUUGUAGAGGGGGGUAGAAUUCCAGGUGUAGCGGUGAAAUGCGUAGAGAUCUGGGGGAAUACCGGUGGCGAAGGCGGCCCCCUGGACAAAGACUGACGCUCAGGUGCGAAAGCGUGGGGAGCAAACAGGAUUAGAUACCCGUGUAGUC